UACGGAGGGUGCGAGCGUUGUUCGGAAUCACUGGGCGUAAAGCGCGUGUAGGCGGCCUGCUAAGUCUGAUGUGAAAGCCCGGGGCUCACCCCCGGAAGUGCAUUGGAAACUAGCGGGCUGGAGUCCCGGAGAGGAGGGUGGAAUUCCUGGUGUAGCGGUGGAAUGCGUAGAGAUCGGGAAGAACAUCAGUGGCGAAGGCGGUCUGCUGGGCCGUUGCUGACGCUGAGGCGCGACAGCGUGGGGAGCAAACAGG
This 253-nucleotide ribosomal RNA is filed under the name uncultured bacterium. Its description in RNAcentral is "partial 16S ribosomal RNA". It matches the Rfam family "Bacterial small subunit ribosomal RNA", at positions 524 to 776 of the family's 1533-position model. The record is from RNAcentral.